RNAcentral lists this transfer RNA (77 nucleotides) under Ralstonia sp. RS647. Its description in RNAcentral is "tRNA-Cys". It matches the Rfam family "tRNA". From Rfam's summary of the family: Transfer RNA (tRNA) molecules are approximately 80 nucleotides in length. Their secondary structure includes four short double-helical elements and three loops (D, anti-codon, and T loops). Further hydrogen bonds mediate the characteristic L-shaped molecular structure. tRNAs have two regions of fundamental functional importance: the anti-codon, which is responsible for specific mRNA codon recognition, and the 3' end, to which the tRNAs corresponding amino acid is attached (by aminoacyl-tRNA synthetases). tRNAs cope with the degeneracy of the genetic code in two manners: having more than one tRNA (with a specific anti-codon) for a particular amino acid; and 'wobble' base-pairing, i.e. permitting non-standard base-pairing at the 3rd anti-codon position. The record is from RNAcentral. Lineage: Bacteria; Pseudomonadati; Pseudomonadota; Betaproteobacteria; Burkholderiales; Burkholderiaceae.
GGCGGGGUGGCAGAGUGGUCAAUGCUGCGGCUUGCAAAGCCGUAUAAGUCGGUUCGAUUCCGUUCCCCCCGCCUCCA